Molecule: long non-coding RNA, 308 nt
Filed under: Linum usitatissimum (flax)
Lineage: Eukaryota; Viridiplantae; Streptophyta; Magnoliopsida; Malpighiales; Linaceae
Description: long non-coding RNA (LUSI_LNC006376)
Source: RNAcentral
CGGUCGUUCAGGAAGAACAUGGUGUCGUCGGCGGCGGUCCAGAAGAGCACCAACGUUAACAACAAAAGUAACAAAGAUGGUGUAGUGUCGGCGGCGGAGAGCGAGCAUAAGGCGGCGGCUCCGGCUCCGUCAGCUGCUGUGGCGGGCUAGGGGGGGGGGGCCGUCCGCUGCUGUGGCGGCUAGCGGAGGAGGGGCGAGCUUCGUGAAGGUGAGCAUGGACGGAGCUCCGUACCUGAGGAAGGUUGACCUGAAGAUGUACGGAAGCUACAGAGAGCUGUCGGAUGCGUUGACCAAGAUGUUCGGUUCCG